RNAcentral lists this ribosomal RNA (203 nucleotides) under Pasteurella atlantica. RNAcentral's name for it is "partial 16S ribosomal RNA". It matches the Rfam family "Bacterial small subunit ribosomal RNA", at positions 1 to 211 of the family's 1533-position model. Lineage: Bacteria; Pseudomonadati; Pseudomonadota; Gammaproteobacteria; Pasteurellales; Pasteurellaceae. RNAcentral also lists the same sequence under 1 other name. The record is from RNAcentral.
UAAUUGAAGAGUUUGAUCAUGGCUCAGAUUGAACGCUGGCGGCAGGCUUAACACAUGCAAGUCGAACGGUAACAGAAGAAAGCUUGCUUUCUUGCUGACGAGUGGCGGACGGGUGAGUAAUGCUUGGGAAUCUGCCUUGUGGAGGGGGAUAACUACGGGAAACUGUAGCUAAUACCGCGUAAUAUCGAAAGAUUAAAGUAUGG